Molecule: ribosomal RNA, 124 nt
Filed under: Pteropus alecto (black flying fox)
Lineage: Eukaryota; Metazoa; Chordata; Mammalia; Chiroptera; Pteropodidae
Source: RNAcentral
AUCUAUGGCCAUGCCACCCUGAAUGUGCCCAUUCCGAGAUUGUCUGAUCUCGGAAGCUAAGCAGGGUCAGGCCUGGUUAGUACUUGGAUAGGAGACCACCUCAGAAUACCAGGUGCCGUAGAUG